Molecule: ribosomal RNA, 328 nt
Filed under: uncultured bacterium
Lineage: Bacteria
Description: bacterial SSU rRNA
Rfam family: Bacterial small subunit ribosomal RNA
Source: RNAcentral
UGCGUAGGUGGUUAGGUAAGACCUGUGGGGAAGACCUGGGCUUAACCCAGGAAGGUCGCAGGUGACUGCCUGGCUAGAGGGCGGGAGAGGAGCGCGGAAUUCCCGGUGUAGCGGUGAAAUGCGUAGAGAUCGGGAGGAAGGCCGGUGGCGAAGGCGGCGCUCUGGAACGUUCCUGACACUGAGGCACGAAAGCGUGGGGAGCAAACAAGAUUAGAUACCCUGGUAGUCCACGCCCUAAACGAUGGGUACUAAGUGUCGGCGGGUUACCGCCGGUGCCGCACCUAACGGAGUAAGUACCCCGCCUGGGGAGUACGGCCGCAAGGUUGAA